AGCCAGUUGGCGGGGUAACGGCCCACCAAAGCGACGAUCAGUAGCCGGCCUGAGAGGGUGAACGGCCACAUUGGGACUGAGACACGGCCCAAACUCCUACGGGAGGCAGCAGUGGGGAAUAUUGCACAAUGGGGGAAACCCUGAUGCAGCGACGCCGCGUGAGUGAAGAAGUAUUUCGGUAUGUAAAGCUCUAUCAGCAGGGAAGAAAGUGACGGUACCUGAAUAAGAAGCCCCGGCUAACUACGUGCCAGCAGCCGCGGUAAUACGUAGGGGGCAAGCGUUAUCCGGAUUUACUGGGUGUAAAGGGAGCGUAGACGGCAAGGCAAGUCUGAAGUGAAAGCCCGGUGCUUAACGCCGGGACUGCUUUGGAAACUGUUUAGCUGGAGUGCCGGAGAGGUAAGCGGAAUUCCUAGUGUAGCGGUGAAAUGCGUAGAUAUUAGGAAGAACACCAGUGGCGAAGGCGGCUUACUGGACGGUAACUGACGUUGAGGCUCGAAAGCGUGGGGAGCAAACAGGAUUAGAUACCCUGGUAGUCCACGCCGUAAACGAUGAUUGCUAGGUGUAGGUGGGUAUGGACCCAUCGGUGCCGCAGCUAACGCAAUAAGCAAUCCACCUGGGGAGUACGUUCGCAAGAAUGAAACUCAGAGGAAUUGACGGGGACCCGCACAAGCGGUGGAGCAUGUGGUUUAAUUCGAAGCAUCGCGAAGAACCUUACCAGGUCUUGACAUCCCGAUGAAAAACCCGUAACGGGGUUCCCUCUUCGGAGCAUCGGAGACAGGUGGUGCAUGGUUGUCGUCAGCUCGUGUCGUGAGAUGUUGGGUUAAGUCCCGCAACGAGCGCAACCCUUAUUCUUAGUAGCCAGCAGGUAAGGCUGGGCACUCUAAGGAGACUGCCGGGGAUAACCCGGAGGAAGGUGGGGAUGACGUCAAAUCAUCAUGCCCCUUAUGAUCUGGGCUACACACGUGCUACAAUGGCGUAACAAAGGGAAGCGAGCCUGCGAGGGUGAGCAAAUCCCAAAAAUAACGUCCCAGUUCGGACUGUAGUCUGCAACCCGACUACACGAAGCUGGAAUCGCUAGUAAUCGCGAAUCAGAAUGUCGCGGUGAAUACGUUCCCGGGUCUUGUACACACCGCCCGUCACACCAUGGGAGUCGGAAAUGCCCGAAGUCUGUGACUCAACCGCAAGGAGAGAGCAGCCGAAGGCAGGUCUGAUAACUGGGGUGAAGUCGUAACAAGGUAGCCGUAC
This 1245-nucleotide ribosomal RNA is filed under the name metagenome. RNAcentral's name for it is "bacterial SSU rRNA". It matches the Rfam family "Bacterial small subunit ribosomal RNA", at positions 243 to 1505 of the family's 1533-position model. The record is from RNAcentral.